Molecule: ribosomal RNA, 468 nt
Filed under: uncultured bacterium
Lineage: Bacteria
Description: partial 16S ribosomal RNA
Rfam family: Bacterial small subunit ribosomal RNA
Source: RNAcentral
GACGAACGCUGGCGGCGUGCUUAACACAUGCAAGUCGAACGGAAAGGCCCUGCUUUUGUGGGGUGCUCGAGUGGCGAACGGGUGAGUAACAAGUGAGUAACCUGCCCUUGACUUUGGGAUAACUUCAGGAAACUGGGGCUAAUACCGGAUAGGAGCUCCUGCUGCAUGGUGGGGGUUGGAAAGUUUCGGCGGUUGGGGAUGGACUCGCGGCUUAUCAGCUUGUUGGUGGGGUAGUGGCUUACCAAGGCUUUGACGGGUAGCCGGCCUGAGAGGGUGACCGGCCACAUUGGGACUGAGAUACGGCCCAGACUCCUACGGGAGGCAGCAGAGGGGAAUAUUGCACAAUGGGCGGAAGCCUCAUGCAGCAACGCCGCGUGCGGGAUGACGGCCUUCGGGUUGUAAACCGCUUUCGCCUGUGACGAAGCGUGAGUGACGGUAAUGGGUAAAGAAGCACCGGCUAACUACGUG